GACGAACGCUGGCGGCGUGCCUAACACAUGCAAGUCGAACGAAGAGCGAUGGAAGCUUGCUUCUAUCAGUCUUAGUGGCGAACGGGUGAGUAACGCGUAAUAAACCUGUCUUUCAGAGGGGGACAACAGUUGGAAACGACUGCUAAUCCCGCAUACGAUCUAAUCUCGGCAUCGAGGAUAGAUGAAAGGUGGUCUCUACAUGUAUGCUAUCACUGAAGCCGGAGUUUGUGUCUGAUUAGCUAGGUGGUGGGGUAAGGGCCCAACAAAGCGAUGAACAGUAGCCGGUCUUGUGGGGGGAACGGGCAAAUUGGGACUUAGGCACGGCCCAGGCUCCUACGGGAGGCAGCAGGGAGGAAACUUCCGCAAUGGAGGAAAGUCUUGCGGGGCAACGGCGCGGGGGCGAUGGCAGGCUUCGGGUUGUAAAGCUCUGUUAAUCAGGACGGAAGGCCUGCUUGCGAAUAGUGAGAAGGAUUGACGGUACCGGAAUAGAAAGCCACGGCUAACUACGUG
RNAcentral lists this ribosomal RNA (510 nucleotides) under uncultured bacterium. RNAcentral describes it as "partial 16S ribosomal RNA". It matches the Rfam family "Bacterial small subunit ribosomal RNA", at positions 28 to 507 of the family's 1533-position model. The record is from RNAcentral.